Molecule: ribosomal RNA, 434 nt
Filed under: uncultured Lachnospiraceae bacterium
Lineage: Bacteria; Bacillati; Bacillota; Clostridia; Lachnospirales; Lachnospiraceae
Description: partial 16S ribosomal RNA
Rfam family: Bacterial small subunit ribosomal RNA
Source: RNAcentral
ACGGGAGGCAGCAGUGGGGAAUAUUGCACAAUGGGGGAAACCCUGAUGCAGCGACGCCGCGUGAGUGAAGAAGUAUUUCGGUAUGUAAAGCUCUAUCAGCAGGGAAGAUAAUGACGGUACCUGACUAAGAAGCACCGGCUAAAUACGUGCCAGCAGCCGCGGUAAUAAGUAUGGUGCAAGCGUUAUCCGGAUUUACUGGGUGUAAAGGGAGCGUAGACGGCAAGGCAAGUCUGAAGUGAAAGCCUGGGGCUCAACCCCGGAACUGCUUUGGAAACUGUCUGGCUAGAGUGCAGGAGAGGUAAGUGGAAUUCCUAGUGUAGCGGUGAAAUGCGUAGAUAUUAGGAGGAACACCAGUGGCGAAGGCGGCUUACUGGACUGUAACUGACGUUGAGGCUCGAAAGCGUGGGGAGCAAACAGGAUUAGAUACCCUGGUA